Molecule: small nucleolar RNA, 104 nt
Organism: Otolemur garnettii (small-eared galago)
Lineage: Eukaryota; Metazoa; Chordata; Mammalia; Primates; Galagidae
Source: Ensembl
AUCCUUUUGUAGUUCAUAAGUGUGAGAAUUGGGUGUUCACGUGCAUGUAUGCAAUGUGCCUCCCUCAAACCUUGUUAUGAUAUUGGCACAUUACUUGUCUGAUG